GAACGCUGGCGGCGCGCCUAACACAUGCAAGUCGAACGGCACCCCUCUCCGGAGGGAAGCGAGUGGCGAACGGCUGAGUAACACGUGGAGAACCUGCCCCCUCCCCCGGGAUAGCCGCCCGAAAGGACGGGUAAUACCGGAUACCCCCGGGCGCCGCAUGGCGCCCGGGCUAAAGCCCCGACGGGAGGGGAUGGCUCCGCGGCCCAUCAGGUAGACGGCGGGGUGACGGCCCACCGUGCCGACAACGGGUAGCCGGGUUGAGAGACCGACCGGCCAGAUUGGGACUGAGACACGGCCCAGACUCCUACGGGAGGCAGCAGUGGGGAAUCUUGCGCAAUGGGGGGAACCCUGACGCAGCGACGCCGCGUGCGGGACGGAGGCCUUCGGGUCGUAAACCGCUUUCAGCAGGGAAGAGUCAAGACUGUACCUGCAGAAGAAGCCCCGGCUAACUACGUGCCAGCAGCCGCGGUAAUACGUAGGGGGCGAGCGUUAUCCGGAUUCAUUGGGCGUAAAGCGCGCGUAGGCGGCCCGGCAGGCCGGGGGUCGAAGCGGGGGGCUCAACCCCCCGAAGCCCCCGGAACCUCCGCGGCUUGGGUGCGGUAGGGGAGGGUGGAACGCAUCGGUGUAGCGGUGGAAUGCGCAGAUUUCGGGGGGAACACCGGUGGCGAAGGCGGCCCUUUGGGCCGAGACCGACGUUGAGGCGCGAAAGCGGGGGAGCGAACAGGAUUAGAUACCCUGGUAGUCCCAGCCGUAAACGAUGGACGCUAGGUGUGGGGGGACGAUCCCCCCGUGCCGCAGCCAACGCAUUAAGCGUCCCGCCUGGGGGAGUACGGCCGCAAGGCUAAAACUCAAAGGAAUUGACGGGGGCCCGCACAAGCAGCGGAGCAUGUGGCUUAAUUCGAAGCAACGCGAAGAACCUUACCAGGGCUUGACAUAUGGGUGAAGCGGGGGAGACCCCGUGGCCGAGAGGAGCCCAUACAGGUGGUGCAUGGCUGUCGUCAGCUCGUGUCGUGAGAUGUUGGGUUAAGUCCCGCAACGAGCGCAACCCCCGCCGCGUGUUGCCAUCGGGUGAUGCCGGGAACCCACGCGGGACCGACGCCGUCAAGGCGGAGGAGGGCGGGGACGACGUCAAGUCAUCAUGCCCCUUAUGCCCUGGGCUGCACACGUGCUACAAUGGCCGGUACAGAGGGAUGCCACCCCGCGAGGGGGAGCGGAUCCCGGAAAGCCGGCCCCAGUUCGGAUUGGGGGCUGCAACCCGCCCCCAUGAAGUCGGAGUUGCUAGUAAUCGCGGAUCAGCAUGCCGCGGUGAAUGCGUUCCCGGGCCUUGUACACACCGCCCGUCACACCACCCGAGUCGUCUGCACCCGAAGUCGCCGGCCCAACCGAGAGGGGGGAGGCGCCGAAGGUGUGG
This 1411-nucleotide ribosomal RNA is filed under the name uncultured organism. RNAcentral describes it as "16S ribosomal RNA". It matches the Rfam family "Bacterial small subunit ribosomal RNA". The record is from RNAcentral.